RNAcentral lists this ribosomal RNA (492 nucleotides) under uncultured bacterium. RNAcentral's name for it is "partial 16S ribosomal RNA". It matches the Rfam family "Bacterial small subunit ribosomal RNA", at positions 29 to 507 of the family's 1533-position model. The record is from RNAcentral.
AGUGAACGCUGGCGGUAGGCCUAACACAUGCAAGUCGAACGGCAGCACAGUAAGAGCUUGCUCUUACGGGUGGCGAGUGGCGGACGGGUGAGGAGUACAUCGGAAUCUACUUUUUCGUGGGGGAUAACGUAGGGAAACUUACGCUAAUACCGCAUACGACCUACGGGUGAAAGCAGGGGAUCUUCGGACCUUGCGCGAUUGAAUGAGCCGAUGUCGGAUUAGCUAGUUGGCGGGGUAAAGGCCCACCAAGGCGACGAUCCGUAGCUGGUCUGAGAGGAGGAUCAGCCACACUGGAACUGAGACACGGUCCAGACUCCUGCGGGAGGCAGCAGUGGGGAAUAUUGGACAAUGGGCGCAAGCCUGAUCCAGCCAUACCGCGUGGGUGAAGAAGGCCUUCGGGUUGUAAAGCCCUUUUGUUGGGAAAGAAAAGCAGCAGGUUAAUACCCCGCUGUUCUGACGGUACCCAAAGAAUAAGCACCGGCUAACUUCGUG